Molecule: ribosomal RNA, 994 nt
Filed under: Arthrobacter sp. ENNN6_I
Lineage: Bacteria; Bacillati; Actinomycetota; Actinomycetes; Micrococcales; Micrococcaceae
Description: bacterial SSU rRNA
Rfam family: Bacterial small subunit ribosomal RNA
Source: RNAcentral
CCAGCUUGCUGGGUGGAUUAGUGGCGAACGGGUGAGUAACACGUGAGUAACCUGCCCCCGACUCUGGGAUAAGCCCGGGAAACUGGGUCUAAUACCGGAUAUUACCUCUUGCCGCAUGGCAGGUGGUGGAAAGAUUUAUCGGUGGGGGAUGGACUCGCGGCCUAUCAGCUUGUUGGUGAGGUAAUGGCUCACCAAGGCGACGACGGGUAGCCGGCCUGAGAGGGUGACCGGCCACACUGGGACUGAGACACGGCCCAGACUCCUACGGGAGGCAGCAGUGGGGAAUAUUGCACAAUGGGCGAAAGCCUGAUGCAGCGACGCCGCGUGAGGGAUGACGGCCUUCGGGUUGUAAACCUCUUUCAGUAGGGAAGAAGCGAAAGUGACGGUACCUGCAGAAGAAGCGCCGGCUAACUACGUGCCAGCAGCCGCGGUAAUACGUAGGGCGCAAGCGUUAUCCGGAUUUAUUGGGCGUAAAGAGCUCGUAGGCGGUUUGUCGCGUCUGCCGUGAAAGUCCGAGGCUCAACCUCGGAUCUGCGGUGGGUACGGGCAGACUAGAGUGAUGUAGGGGAGACUGGAAUUCCUGGUGUAGCGGUGAAAUGCGCAGAUAUCAGGAGGAACACCGAUGGCGAAGGCAGGUCUCUGGGCAUUUACUGACGCUGAGGAGCGAAAGCAUGGGGAGCGAACAGGAUUAGAUACCCUGGUAGUCCAUGCCGUAAACGUUGGGCACUAGGUGUGGGGGACAUUCCACGUUUUCCGCGCCGUAGCUAACGCAUUAAGUGCCCCGCCUGGGGAGUACGGCCGCAAGGCUAAAACUCAAAGGAAUUGACGGGGGCCCGCACAAGCGGCGGAGCAUGCGGAUUAAUUCGAUGCAACGCGAAGAACCUUACCAAGGCUUGACAUGUGCCAGACCGCUUCAGAGAUGGAGUUUCCCUUCGGGGCUGGUUCACAGGUGGUGCAUGGUUGUCGUCAGCUCGUGUCGUGAGAUGUUGGGUUA